UUUUAUUUAGUUUAUUAAAAUAACUGCUUGUCAAGUAGUAGAUGUAAUUCAAUAUACUAUUAGUUUAAAA
This 70-nucleotide transfer RNA is filed under the name Aegista diversifamilia. RNAcentral describes it as "tRNA-Asp". The record is from RNAcentral. Lineage: Eukaryota; Metazoa; Mollusca; Gastropoda; Stylommatophora; Camaenidae.